This 236-nucleotide ribosomal RNA is filed under the name uncultured bacterium. RNAcentral's name for it is "partial 16S ribosomal RNA". It matches the Rfam family "Bacterial small subunit ribosomal RNA", at positions 100 to 334 of the family's 1533-position model. The record is from RNAcentral.
CGGGACGGGUGAGUAACGCGUGGGUAACCUGCCUCAUACAGGGGGAUAACAGUUAGAAAUGGCUGCUAAUACCGCAUAAGACCACAGUACUGCAUGGUACAGUGGUAAAAGCUCCGGUGGUAUGAGAUGGACCCGCGUCUGAUUAGGUAGUUGGUGAGGUAACGGCCCACCAAGCCGACGAUCAGUAGCCGACCUGAGAGGGUGACCGGCCACAUUGGGACUGAGACACGGCCCAG